GGGUGAUGGUUAACUAUUUUCAUGAUUGAUUCAGUAGAAGGCUCUUAUCUCUGGCUAGUCCUAUUGUCUAUAAGAAUUUCAUUAAUAUCCUCAGAUUCAUGGGUUGGUCAGAAACUAGAUUCAAGGUCGACUUUCUCAUCACUAAUUUCAAUGGGUUCAUAAAUUUUUUUUUAAAUUAUAUUUACAUCAGCAUGUUGGGUGGAUUUCUGUCCUAGAUUGAGUAUAUUCAGUUCAAUGGUCA
RNAcentral lists this long non-coding RNA (241 nucleotides) under Elaeis guineensis (African oil palm). RNAcentral's name for it is "long non-coding RNA (EGUI_LNC037643)". Lineage: Eukaryota; Viridiplantae; Streptophyta; Magnoliopsida; Arecales; Arecaceae. The record is from RNAcentral.